CUUACCAUGCAGUCGAGCGAGAAUUCUUUCCAAAGUCUUCGGACAGAGGAAGGGAUAGACAGCGGCGGACGGGUGAGUAACGCGUGGGGAACCUGCCUCGUACCGGGGGAUAACAGUUGGAAACAGCUGCUAAUACCGCAUAAGCGCACAGCAUCGCAUGAUGCCGUGUGAAAAACUCCGGUGGUAUGAGAUGGACCCGCGUUGGAUUAGCUAGUUGGCAGGGCAAAGGCCUACCAAGGCAACGAUCCAUAGCCGGCCUGAGAGGGCGACCGGCCACAUUGGGACUGAGACACGGCCCAGACUCCUACGGGAGGCAGCAGUGGGGAAUCUUGCACAAUGGGCGAAAGCCUGAUGCAGCGACGCCGCGUGAGUGAAGAAGUAUUUCGGUAUGUAAAGCUCUAUCAGCAGGGAAGAAAAUGACGGUACCUGACUAAGAAGCCCCGGCUAACUACGUGCCAGCAGCCGCGGUAAUACGUAGGGGGCAAGCGUUAUCCGGAUUUACUGGGUGUAAAGGGAGCGUAGACGGACCGGCAAGUCUGAAGUGAAAUUCCAGGGCUCAACCCUGGGACUGCUUUGGAAACUGCAGAUCUUGAGUACCGGAGGGGUAAGCGGAAUUCCUAGUGUAGCGGUGAAAUGCGUAGAUAUUAGGAAGAACACCAGUGGCGAAGGCGGCUUACUGGACGGUAACUGACGUUGAGGCUCGAAAGCGUGGGUAGCAAACAGGAUUAGAUACCCUGGUAG
RNAcentral lists this ribosomal RNA (741 nucleotides) under uncultured bacterium. RNAcentral's name for it is "bacterial SSU rRNA". It matches the Rfam family "Bacterial small subunit ribosomal RNA", at positions 48 to 793 of the family's 1533-position model. The record is from RNAcentral.